AACGAACGCUGGCGGCAGGCCUAAAACAUGCAAGUCGAACGAUCUAGCAAUAGAUAGUGGCGCACGGGUGAGUAACACGUGGGAAUAUCCCUUUCACUACGGAACAACGUCGGGAAACUGACGCUAAUACCGUAUAAUGUCUCCGGACCAAAGAUUUAUCGGUGAAAGAUUAGCCCGCGUCUGAUUAGCUAGUUGGUGAGGUAACGGCUCACCAAGGCAACGAUCAGUAACUGGUCUGAGAGGAUGGUCAGCCACACUGGAACUGAGACACGGUCCAGACUCCUACAGGAGGCAGCAGUUAGGAAUAUUGGACAAUGGGGGCAACCCUGAUCCAGCCAUGCCGCGUGUGUGACGAAGGCCUUAGGGUUGUAAAGCACUUUCGUCUACGAAGAUAAUGACAGUAGUAGAAGAAGAAGCUCCGGCUAAAUUCGUGCCAGCCGCCGCAGUAA
Molecule: ribosomal RNA, 449 nt
Filed under: uncultured bacterium
Lineage: Bacteria
Description: partial 16S ribosomal RNA
Rfam family: Bacterial small subunit ribosomal RNA
Source: RNAcentral